RNAcentral lists this ribosomal RNA (716 nucleotides) under uncultured Weissella sp. Its description in RNAcentral is "bacterial SSU rRNA". It matches the Rfam family "Bacterial small subunit ribosomal RNA", at positions 32 to 703 of the family's 1533-position model. The record is from RNAcentral. Lineage: Bacteria; Bacillati; Bacillota; Bacilli; Lactobacillales; Lactobacillaceae.
AACGCUGGCGGCGUGCCUAAUACAUGCAAGUCGAACGCAUUGUGGUUGAAAUGAUAUGAAGAACUUGUUCAGAUUUGAUUUUCAACAUUGCAAUGAGUGGCGAACGGGUGAGUAACACGUGGGAAACCUACCUCUUAGCAGGGGAUAACAUUUGGAAACAAAUGCUAAUACCGUAUAAUAAUUAAAACCGCAUGGUUUUAGUUUAAAAGAUGGUCUUGCUAUCACUAAGAGAUGGUCCCGCGGUGUAUUAGUUAGUUGGUGAGGUAAUGGCUCACCAAGACAAUGAUACAUAGCCGAGUUGAGAGACUGACCGGCCACAAUGGGACUGAGACACGGCCCAUACUCCUACGGGAGGCAGCAGUAGGGAAUCUUCCACAAUGGACGAAAGUCUGAUGGAGCAACGCCGCGUGUGUGAUGAAGGGUUUCGGCUCGUAAAACACUGUUGUAAGAGAAGAAUGACAUUGAGAGUAACUGUUCAAUGUGUGACGGUAUCUUACCAGAAAGGAACGGCUAAAUACGUGCCAGCAGCCGCGGUAAUACGUAUGUUCCAAGCGUUAUCCGGAUUUAUUGGGCGUAAAGCGAGCGCAGACGGUUAUUUAAGUCUGAAGUGAAAGCCCUCGGCUCAACCGAGGAAUUGCUUUGGAAACUGGAUAACUUGAGUGCAGUAGAGGAAAGUGGAACUCCAUGUGUAGCGGGAAAUGCGUAAAUAUAUGGAA